Molecule: long non-coding RNA, 450 nt
Organism: Suricata suricatta (meerkat)
Lineage: Eukaryota; Metazoa; Chordata; Mammalia; Carnivora; Herpestidae
Exons: 4
Source: RefSeq, a predicted model, not a curated record
CUCUGCACAGUCACAGCUGCCCCUGCCCAGGAAGAGCAGGGGUCCAGGGGGCUGUGCUGCAGGCUGUCAACUGCACCCUGCAGGGGAAAACCAACUCUCUCUUGACAGGAAGUCCAGGGGCACCUUCAUGGCUGCUGCAGUGAACACAGUGAUCUGAUAAAAGGAACUGUGACCCGAUUGAUUGGACCUGUCUCCAUAAACAGGCCGUGAAGGGGGCAGGAGAGCCCUGAAACAGCACGCAGGUGGUUGAAGUGUGCCCAGAAGAGCCAGGAGCACCCCCUGUGCGAAGACCAGCCCUUGUGGGUCCCUGAGGCGAAGACGGUCCGAGAUGCAGGUGGAUCUGUAUGUGGCAAGAAGUUGAGGGGAGUCCUGUCUCCGCAAAGUAGAGGACAGCGGCCUGGUAGCAGAACAACGGUGAGACGUUUUCUCCCCAUCUGUGGAAACGGCGAG